This 296-nucleotide long non-coding RNA is filed under the name Fukomys damarensis (Damara mole-rat). RNAcentral's name for it is "lncRNA (ENSFDAG00000021703.1)". Lineage: Eukaryota; Metazoa; Chordata; Mammalia; Rodentia; Bathyergidae. The record is from RNAcentral.
UAUACCUCCUCCAUCUCUAGUUACACUGAAUCUCCCUCUUCCAGGUAUGAGCUGAGAAGUAAGAACUAUGAAAAAAUCUAUGGAUCUGGGUUACCUGCCAAUGCAGUUUGCUGCUGAUUGCUGGCUCCAGUCCCAUCUGACCCUGCAGUGCAUAAAAGCUUUGAAAGGUGGUGAGCAGGUGACUAUGGUGAAGAAGAAUACACAAAGGACUCUCCUGAAAAUGGAAAGGUGAAAACUCAAAUGCAGUUGUUUGUGGGAUUAAUAAUUGUAAAAUAAACUACACCAUAAUUGGAGGA